AGGAUAAACGCUGGCGGCGUGCCUAACACAUGCAAGUCGAACGUCCUACGCAAGUAGGGAGUAGCGGACGGGUGAGUAGCACGUGGGCAAUCUACCUUUCGGUGAGGAAUACCGGCGAGAAAUCGCCGACAAUACCGCAUACGCUUCGCAAGAAGCAAAGUCGCAAGACGCCGGAGGAGGAGCCUGCGCCCGAUUAGCUAGUUGGUGAGGUAAGAGCUCACCAAGGCGACGAUCGGUAGCUGGUCUGAGAGGAUGAUCAGCCACACUGGGAUUGAGAACGGCCCGGACUCCUACGGGGGGCAGCAGUGAGGAAUUUUCGUCAAUGGGGGCAACCCUGAACGAGCAACGCCGCGUGCAGGAGAAGGUUUUCGGAUCGUAAACUGCUUUUCUCGGGGAAGAGAACGGACGGUACCCGAGGAAUCACGCCCCGGCUAACUACGUGCCAGCAGCCGC
Molecule: ribosomal RNA, 453 nt
Filed under: uncultured bacterium
Lineage: Bacteria
Description: SSU rRNA
Rfam family: Bacterial small subunit ribosomal RNA
Source: RNAcentral